GAUAAACGCUGGCGGCGUGCCUAAAACAUGCAAGUCGAACGGACACUUCGGUGUUAGUGGCGAACGGCUGAGUAACACGUGGGUGACCUGCCUUCGAACGGGGGAUAACUGCCCGAAAGGGUGGCUAAUACCGCAGAUGUUGCGUCUUCGUUGGUGCAACUGAACUUCCGGGGUUCGGAGAGGGGCCUGCGUCCGAUUAGCUAGCUGGUGGGGUAACGGCCUACCAGGGCGACGAUCGGUAGCUGGUCUGAGAGGAUGAUCAGCCAGACUGGGACUGCGAACGGCCCAGACUCCUACGGGAGGCAGCAGUUAGGAAUUUGGGCAAUGGGCGAAAGCCUGACCCAGCAACGCCGCGUGGGUGAUGAAGGCCCUCGGGUCGUAAAGCCCUUUUCCAGGGGAAGAUAGUGACGGUACCCUGGGAAUCAGCCCCGGCUAACUACGUG
This 443-nucleotide ribosomal RNA is filed under the name uncultured bacterium. RNAcentral describes it as "bacterial SSU rRNA". It matches the Rfam family "Bacterial small subunit ribosomal RNA", at positions 28 to 507 of the family's 1533-position model. The record is from RNAcentral.